RNAcentral lists this ribosomal RNA (383 nucleotides) under uncultured eukaryote. RNAcentral's name for it is "SSU rRNA". It matches the Rfam family "Eukaryotic small subunit ribosomal RNA", at positions 587 to 972 of the family's 1831-position model. The record is from RNAcentral.
AGCUCAAAUAGUGUAUAUUAAAGUUGUUUGAGUUAAAAAGCUCGUAGUUGGAUUUCUGGUAGGAGUAGUGACUAUGGGUCUUUGACCUAUGAAGUUGCUAUCUUCAACCAUUAUUGAAGAGAUUUAGUUUGGCAUUAAGUUGUCGAGCUAAAGAUAUUCAUCUUUUACUGUGAAAAUAUCAGAACGUUCAAAGUAAGCAUUUAGCUUUGAAUGUAUUAGCAUGGAAUAAUGAAAUAUGACUUAGGUACUACUUUGUUGGUUUAUGCACCUACGUAAUGAUUAAUAGGGAUAGUUGGGGGUAUUCGUAUUCCAAUGUUAGAGGUGAAAUUCUUGGAUUUUUGGAGGACGAACACCUGUGAAAACAUUUACCAAGGAUUUUUUUA